RNAcentral lists this ribosomal RNA (253 nucleotides) under uncultured bacterium. Its description in RNAcentral is "partial 16S ribosomal RNA". It matches the Rfam family "Bacterial small subunit ribosomal RNA", at positions 524 to 776 of the family's 1533-position model. The record is from RNAcentral.
UACGUAGGGAGCAAGCGUUCUCCGGAAUUAUUGGGCGUAAAGAGCGCGCGGGUGGUUGAUUAAGUCUGAUGUGAAAGCCCACGGCUUAACCGUGGAGGGUCAUUGGAAACUGGUCGACUUGAGUGCAGAAGAGGGAAGUGGAAUUCCAUGUGUAGCGGUGAAAUGCGUAGAGAUAUGGAGGAACACCAGUGGCGAAGGCGGCUUCCUGGUCUGUAACUGACACUGAGGCGCGAAAGCGUGGGGAGCAAACAGG